UGCAAGUCGAGCGGUAGCACAGAGAGCUUGCUCUCGGGUGACGAGCGGCGGACGGGUGAGUAAUGUCUGGGAAACUGCCUGAUGGAGGGGGAUAACUACUGGAAACGGUAGCUAAUACCGCAUAAUGUCGCAAGACCAAAGUGGGGGACCUUCGGGCCUCAUGCCAUCAGAUGUGCCCAGAUGGGAUUAGCUAGUAGGUGGGGUAACGGCUCACCUAGGCGACGAUCCCUAGCUGGUCUGAGAGGAUGACCAGCCACACUGGAACUGAGACACGGUCCAGACUCCUACGGGAGGCAGCAGUGGGGAAUAUUGCACAAUGGGCGCAAGCCUGAUGCAGCCAUGCCGCGUGUGUGAAGAAGGCCUUCGGGUUGUAAAGCACUUUCAGCGGGGAGGAAGGCGWUAAGGUUAAUAACCUUGUCGAUUGACGUUACCCGCAGAAGAAGCACCGGCUAACUCCGUGCCAGCAGCCGCGGUAAUACGGAGGGUGCAAGCGUUAAUCGGAAUUACUGGGCGUAAAGCGCACGCAGGCGGUCUGUCAAGUCGGAUGUGAAAUCCCCGGGCUCAACCUGGGAACUGCAUUCGAAACUGGCAGGCUAGAGUCUUGUAGAGGGGGGUAGAAUUCCAGGUGUAGCGGUGAAAUGCGUAGAGAUCUGGAGGAAUACCGGUGGCGAAGGCGGCCCCCUGGACAAAGACUGACGCUCAGGUGCGAAAGCGUGGGGAGCAAACAGGAUUAGAUACCCUGGUAGUCCACGCCGUAAACGAUGUCGAUUUGGAGGUUGUGCCCUUGAGGCGUGGCUUCCGGAGCUAACGCGUUAAAUCGACCGCCUGGGGAGUACGGCCGCAAGGUUAAAACUCAAAUGAAUUGACGGGGGCCCGCACAAGCGGUGGAGCAUGUGGUUUAAUUCGAUGCAACGCGAAGAACCUUACCUGGUCUUGACAUCCACAGAACUUUCCAGAGAUGGAUUGGUGCCUUCGGGAACUGUGAGACAGGUGCUGCAUGGCUGUCGUCAGCUCGUGUUGUGAAAUGUUGGGUUAAGUCCCGCAACGAGCGCAACCCUUAUCCUUUGUUGCCAGCGGUUMGGCCGGGAACUCAAAGGAGACUGCCAGUGAUAAACUGGAGGAAGGUGGGGAUGACGUCAAGUCAUCAUGGCCCUUACGACCAGGGCUACACACGUGCUACAAUGGCAUAUACAAAGAGAAGCGACCUCGCGAGAGCAAGCGGACCUCAUAAAGUAUGUCGUAGUCCGGAUUGGAGUCUGCAACUCGACUCCAUGAAGUCGGAAUCGCUAGUAAUCGUAGAUCAGAAUGCUACGGUGAAUACGUUCCCGGGCCUUGUACACACCGCCCGUCACACCAUGGGAGUGGGUUGCAAAAGAAGUAGGUAGCUU
Molecule: ribosomal RNA, 1388 nt
Filed under: bacterium
Lineage: Bacteria
Description: bacterial SSU rRNA
Source: RNAcentral